Molecule: long non-coding RNA, 3029 nt
Filed under: Sus scrofa (pig)
Lineage: Eukaryota; Metazoa; Chordata; Mammalia; Artiodactyla; Suidae
Description: lncRNA (ENSSSCG00000056427.1)
Source: RNAcentral
UUUUUUUUUUUUUUUUUUUUUUUUUUUUUUGGUCUUUUUAGCUAUUUCUUGGGCCGCUCCCGCGGCAUAUGGAGGUUCCCAGGCUAGGGGUUGAAUCGGAGCUGUAGCCACCGGCCUACGCCAGAGCCACAGCAACUCAGGAUCCGAGCUGCAUCUGCAACCUACACCACAGCUCACGGCAAUGCCGGAUCGUUAACCCACUGAGCAAGGGCAGGGAUCGAACCCGCAACCUCAUGGUUCCUAGUCGGAUUCGUUAACCACUGCGCCACGACGGGAACUCCCUAAAAGUUUAAAUAGUUUGCUGUCCUGGACUGUACUGGAGUGCCCUUCUCUGUUUCACACUAACCUUCAGGAAAAGCCUGUUUCACAAAAAGUUUUGUUACUGGUACCUUGGGGAGCUUGUGAGAGAAGUGUCUGCAUGGGGCAAAAGGCGUUGCCCAGAGGACCACAACUGCAUGCCCAGGCCAUCCUACAGGGAUAGUCACGGUAGCAGAAACUGAGAGCAGCACAGAGGCAAUGCAAACCAUCCUCCUUUCCCCUCGGGAGCAUCCCAGGGUUUAUGUGAAGAUGCCCAAGUCUCUCAUCUGGCUGUUAGAGAAAAAGUGAUCUCAGAAAGGGGGAGCAAGGAGUUCCCACUAUGGUCCAGUAGCUUAAGAAUCUGACUACAGGAGUUACCAUCUUGGCUCAGUGGUAAUGAACCCGACUGGCAUCCAAGAUCACGCAGGUUCGAUCCCUGGCCUUGCUCCGUGGGUUAAGGAUCCAGCAUUGCCAUGAGCUGUGGUGUAAGUCACAGACAUGGCUUGGAUCCCACGUUGCUGUGGCUGUGGCGUAGGCUGGCAACUGCAGCUCUGAUUUGACCCCUGGCCUGAGAACUUCCAUAUGCUGCAGGUGUGGCCCUAAAAAGACAAAAAAAAAUAAAAAAUCCGACUGCAGUGGCUCCAACUGCGUGGUUUAAAGGAUCCUGGGUUGCCGCGGCCAUGGCACAGGUCACAGUUAUCACUCCGAUUCAAUCCCUGGCCCAAGGACUUCCAUGUGCCGCAAGUAUGGCCAUUAAAAAAAAUUUUUUUUAAGAAAAAAGAAAUAUGGAAUAUUUAAGAACAUUAAGGUUGCACAGAAGAAAAGUUUAGUUCCACUUGCGAAGUAUCAUUAAGUGCAUAAUGGGCAGCUUGGGGCCUCUGUUAGGACUUUCAGGAGUCUUUUCAUUCAGGGAAUGUGAAGACUCAGCAGGAAGAUUCCCUCCUGAGUUGAUCUAUGAGGUCAGCUGACUCCACAACAACACCUGGGAAAGCUGCCCGCCAGCCAGAGGCUGCUGGAUGCGCCCCAGGUCCAGGGAAACAUGUACAAACGGAAAGAGGUGAAAAAAGGUUCCUCUCACCAUCAGUGAUACCAGGGAAAGAGCUUUUCCCAAGACACAUGCUGUUCAGCUCACCAAAGCCAGACACACAUGGGGCGAGUGGUAUGGGAGCUUCUUUCCAGAUUUCCCUGGAAAGACUUUCGGGACCCAAUCUGCAGGGUCAAAGCUAGGGUGAGGCAAGAGAGGCAUGUGUCUCAAGUGCAGAAUUUAAGGGGGUGCCAAAAACUCAGCAAUCAAGACAAAUGAUAUUUUACAGUGAUGUUUUCUUUUAGAAAAAGAAACCUCUAUGAUGAACAAAAUACCAAACUUUUAAAUAAGACAGAAUCUGACUCUGCACUUGCAUAACACAUCAUUUGUCAUCUCGUGAUCCCAACCCUGCCAGGACUUGCCUUUACUUAAAAUGUUAGUAUUUUGUUCAUCGUGGAUUCUUUGAAUUAAUUUUAAUUUCAAAAAUAUUCCAUUAAAAUGGCAUUGAUCUUGAUUACUGUGGUUUUUGGCACAUCCUUAAAUUCUGCACUUGCCUCACUCUCAAACCAGCCCUGAACAUCAGUAAGAACCUCUUUAAAAUCCUUCCUUCCACACCCCCAUCCCACCAAAAGAAAUCUGCCAGCACACCAUGAUGAUAAGAAGGCAUUUUCAUAUAUAAAAAUAAAAAGCUUACUGGUGACAAUAAUACCAGCCAAAUAAAGAACUGGGGUAAGUUCCUGGCACAAUCCAUUUAGCAGUUUUAUAAGUAGGAAAUCUAACAGAUUUCUGGGUUCCAGAGUAAAAAUUCAUAAUUAAAAACGAUCCUAACACUUCUCGUUCAACAUAAAAGACGAAGGGUUGAGGCUGAGAAAUUCAAGAAAUUUGAGUAUGUUUCAUCCUGUUUCUUUUUUUUUUUUUUUUUUUUGUCUUUUUUGUUGUUGUUGUUGUUGUUAUUGUUGUUGUUGUUGUUAUUUCUUGGGCCGCUUCCGCGGCAUAUGGAGGUUCCCAGGCUAGGGGUUGAAUCAGAGCUGUAGCCACCAGCCUACGCCAGAGCCACAGCAAUGCAGGAUCCGAGCCGCGUCUGCAACCUACACCACAGCUCACGGCAACGCCGGAUCGUUAACCCACUGAGCAAGGGCAGGGACCGAACCCACAACCUCAUGGUUCCUAGUCGGAUUCGUUAACCACUGCGCCACGACGGGAACUCCUCAUCCUGUUUCUUAUAAUGCACAUUAAUGUAUGUGUUAUGUAUUCAAGGCUUCAGUUGGAUAGAUUAAUUAAAUCUCAGGUCAGAUACUUAGUGGUUGAGUGUGGUCAUCACGGGUGCCAUUCAUAAAAUAUUUAACCCUUUUAUUCAAUGCCACUGCCUGUGUAUAGAGGCAACAUGGCAUAACAAUAGAACUCUGGAUUGAGAAUCCCAAUUGUAUUACUCAUAUCACUAAAUGUCCUUGGGUCUCACUUUCGUCAUCUGUAAAAGGAUGUUACAACUUACCUUAAAUACCAUGUCACUUAAAAACAAACAAACAAACAAACACUUGGAGUUCCCAUUGUGGCACAGCAGAAAACAAUCCAACUAGGAACCAUGAGGUUGAGGGUUUGAUCCCUUACCUCUCUCAGUGGGUUAAGGAUCCGGCAUUGCCAUGAGCUGUGGUGUAGCUUGCAGACACAGCUCAGAUCCUGCACAGCUGUGGCUGUGGCCAGCAGCUGG